This is a long non-coding RNA of Perca fluviatilis (European perch), 307 nucleotides long. RefSeq lists it as uncharacterized. Lineage: Eukaryota; Metazoa; Chordata; Actinopteri; Perciformes; Percidae. The record is from RefSeq and is a predicted model, not a curated record. The transcript is spliced from 3 exons.
AAGCAAUCUCAGUAGCCAGAGGAGGACCGGCCACCAGGUCAAAAUCAAAUAUAAGAACAUUCUUAGCAAUGCCACCAGAAAGCAGACUGCAUCCAUGGGUACUGGUGGGGGACCGCCACCGGAGGAGCUCACACCAGCUGAGAUCCUGGCCCUUGGGAUAAAUAAGGGGCCCAAGAUAGUUGGGAUCGAGGGGGGGAGCUCCUCCAACCCUGUGGCCCCAGAGAUCCGGGCCCCAUAUGUUGAAGUGACAGGGGAUCAAAUUAUUCUCCUUGACCCACCACAAGUGCACAUUGAGGAUGCAGCCGGG